UGAAUGGUUCACCGUCUGUUGCUUAUUUAAUAUUUUUUCUAUAUCUCAUAUAUAAUCAUAACAACCACAUAAAAAUUACAACAAAUCAUAUAUAAUCUUAGCAAAUUGAAAUCCUAAUAAUUGUAUAGACAUAUAAUCUUAACAACUUGAAAAUCCUAAUAACAUAUCCAUACAAUUCUAACAUAAAAAUUGCAAUAAAUCACAUAUAAUCUUAACAACCUGAAAAUCCUAAUAAUCUAUCCAUACAAUUCUAACAUAAAAAUUGCAAUAAAUCACAUAUAAUCUUAACAACCUGAAAAUCCUAAUAAUCUAUCCAUACAAUUCUAACAAUCAAAUAAAAAUUCCAAUAAUCUACGCAUACUAAAAACCUCACUUUUUCCUNCUAUUUUUCAUCUAACAACCUCACUUUUUUCUAUUUUUCAUCUAACAACCUCACUUUUUUCUAUUUUUCAACUAAUAACCUUAUUUUUUUUCUAUUUUUCAUAUAAACCAUGUAUAGGAAAAUGUGAGGUUGUUAGAUGGAAAAUAGAAAAAAUAUGAGAUUUUUAGGAUUAUACGUGGAUUAUUAGAAUUUUUAUUUGAUUGUUAGGAUUGUAUGGAUAGAUUAUUAGAAUUUUUAGGUUGCUAAAAUUAUAUGUGAUUUGUUAUAAUUUUUAUGUGGUUGUUAAGAUUAUAUAUGGGAUAGAGGAAAAAUAUUAAAUAAGCAAAAGGCGGUGAACACCGUCUUUAUUAGUUAUGUUAGUAAGACGGUA
Molecule: long non-coding RNA, 752 nt
Filed under: Ananas comosus (pineapple)
Lineage: Eukaryota; Viridiplantae; Streptophyta; Magnoliopsida; Poales; Bromeliaceae
Description: long non-coding RNA (ACOM_LNC041558)
Source: RNAcentral